This 253-nucleotide ribosomal RNA is filed under the name uncultured bacterium. Its description in RNAcentral is "partial 16S ribosomal RNA". It matches the Rfam family "Bacterial small subunit ribosomal RNA", at positions 524 to 776 of the family's 1533-position model. The record is from RNAcentral.
UACGUAGGGGGCAAGCGUUGUCCGGAAUCAUUGGGCGUAAAGCGCGUGUAGGCGGCCCGAUAAGUCCGCUGUGAAAGUCCAGGGCUCAACCCUGGAAUGCCGGUGGAUACUGUCGGGCUCGAGUCCGGAAGAGGCGAGUGGAAUUCCUGGUGUAGCGGUGAAAUGCGCAGAUAUCAGGAGGAACACCAAUGGCGAAGGCAGCUCGCUGGGACGGUGCUGACGCUGAGACGCGAAAGCGUGGGGAGCAAACAGG